This 506-nucleotide ribosomal RNA is filed under the name uncultured bacterium. RNAcentral's name for it is "partial 16S ribosomal RNA". It matches the Rfam family "Bacterial small subunit ribosomal RNA", at positions 29 to 523 of the family's 1533-position model. The record is from RNAcentral.
AGUGAACGCUGGCGGUAGGCCUAACACAUGCAAGUCGAACGGCAGCACAGGAGAGCUUGCUCUCUGGGUGGCGAGUGGCGGACGGGUGAGGAAUACAUCGGAAUCUACUCUGUCGUGGGGGAUAACGUAGGGAAACUUACGCUAAUACCGCAUACGACCUACGGGUGAAAGCAGGGGACCUUCGGGCCUUGCGCGAUUGAAUGAGCCGAUGUCGGAUGAGCUAGUUGGCGGGGUAAAGGCCCACCAAGGCGACGAUCCGUAGCUGGUCUGAGAGGAUGAUCAGCCACACUGGAACUGAGACACGGUCCAGACUCCUACGGGAGGCAGCAGGGGGGAAUAUUGGACAAGGGGCGAAAUCCUGAUCCAGACAUACCGCGUGGGUGAAGAAGGCCUUCGGGUUGUAAAGCCCUUUUGUUGGGAAAGAAAUCCAGCUGGCUAAUACCCGGUUGGGAUGACGGUACCUAAAGAAUAAGCACCGGCUAACUUCGUGCCAGCCGCCGCGGUAA